Molecule: long non-coding RNA, 498 nt
Filed under: Heterocephalus glaber (naked mole-rat)
Lineage: Eukaryota; Metazoa; Chordata; Mammalia; Rodentia; Bathyergidae
Description: lncRNA (ENSHGLG00100043531.1)
Source: RNAcentral
CCAGAAGGAAGCCUUGUGUGUGACCCUCAGUCCAAGAUGACACUCUGAAUCCACUCACUCUGCACUCUAAUUUCCCUUACAUUAUAGAAAGCUCUCCUGGGCAGCCUCUUAGUCCUGGCCAACUUUGUGAGUGUAUGCAGAGGCCAGUGCUAUAACCUACAUUUUGUCCAAGGUGAAGGUGAUUCUCCUCCUGUAUGCCGGGAUCUUGAUGGAACCACACACUCAAUAAACUCAACAUGGAUCACUGGGGACUGCACUAAAUGUAUUUGCUACAAAAAUAAAAUGGAAUGCUGUGGCAUACUUACUAUACCUCUUCAGUACGACAAAUCCAAAUGCCACAGCGUUUUUAACAUCAAUGACUGUACCUACACUGUUGUUCAGGAUCAAGAUCAUUCAAAGCCCUGUCAGUUCUAUGUCAAGAUACGUGAUGUCUUCAAAGAAGCCCAGCGCACCCUGCUCCCUUUUCCAAAACCAGUAUACCCAUGUUGGUAGUACCAC